GCUGCAUUCUCGAGUACAGAGCUACUUGGAAAAGCACUUGACAGCCGGUAGAGAAAUCUCCAGCUUUUUCUUUCAGAACCACCCUCCCCAACUCAGGCAUUUCUUUCCCAAGAUCACUUGAUUAGACUUUGGAGGCAAGAAAGGACAUGCAGAGGGAGCAGGCAAAUCUCAGCCACACUACCUCACACCUGCCUAGAUUUGUGAUGUGCUCUGUCCUGUUUGCCACAUUCGGUGUUAGAAAGCAGUUAUUCAAAGCUUUGUCCCUUCUACCCCCCUUGGUUUUUCUGUAGAGCACAAAAGUGAAAGAAGCCUCUUUAGCAGGGGUAGCAGUUCAUUAAAAUAUACAACUACAUUUCCUA
Molecule: long non-coding RNA, 359 nt
Organism: Myotis davidii
Lineage: Eukaryota; Metazoa; Chordata; Mammalia; Chiroptera; Vespertilionidae
Exons: 2
Source: RefSeq, a predicted model, not a curated record